Small nuclear RNA from Ochotona princeps (American pika), 101 nucleotides. NCBI's taxonomy places the organism in Eukaryota, Metazoa, Chordata, Mammalia, Lagomorpha, Ochotonidae. The record is from Ensembl.
GUGCUCACUCCGGCAGCGUGUAUACUAAAAUUGGAAAGAUACGAAAAAGACAGGCAUGGCCCCUGCACAAGGAUGACACACAAGAAGUAUUCCAUAUUUUU